RNAcentral lists this ribosomal RNA (1152 nucleotides) under uncultured bacterium. RNAcentral describes it as "bacterial SSU rRNA". It matches the Rfam family "Bacterial small subunit ribosomal RNA", at positions 189 to 1363 of the family's 1533-position model. The record is from RNAcentral.
AUGGUGCAGUGUGAAAAACUCCGGUGGUAUGAGAUGGACCCGCGUUUGAUUAGCUGGUGGGUGGGGUAACGGCUCACCAAGGCGACGAUCAGUAGCCGACCUGAGAGGGUGAUCGGCCACAUUGGGACUGAGACACGGCCCAAACUCCUACGGGAGGCAGCAGUGGGGGAUAUUGCACAAUGGGGGAAACCCUGAUGCAGCAACGCCGCGAGAGUGAAGAAGUAUUUCGGUAUGUAAAGCUCUAUCAGCAGGGAAGAAAAUGACGGUACCUGACUAAGAAGCCCCGGCUAACUACGUGCCAGCAGCCGCGGUAAUACGUAGGGGGCAAGCGUUAUCCGGAUUUACUGGGUGUAAAGGGAGCGUAGACGGCGCUGCAAGUCUGAAGUGAAAGCCCGGGGCUCAACCCCGGGACUGCUUUGGAAACUGUAAUGCUAGAGUGCUGGAGAGGUAAGUGGAAUUCCUAGUGUAGCGGUGAAAUGCGUAGAUAUUAAGAGGAACACCAGUGGCGAAGGCGGCUUACUGGACAGUAACUGACGUUGAGGCUCGAAAGCGUGGGGAGCAAACAGGAUUAGAUACCCUGGUAGUCCACGCGGUAAACGAUGAAUGCUAGGUGUUGGGGAGCAAAGCUCUUCGGUGCCGUCGCAAACGCAAUAAGCAUUCCACCUGGGGAGUACGUUCGCAAGAAUGAAACUCAAAGGAAUUGACGGGGACCCGCACAAGCGGUGGAGCAUGUGGUUUAAUUUGAAGCAACGCGAAGAACCUUACCAAGUCUUGACAUCCUUCUGACCGGCGCGUAACGGCGCCUUCUCUUCGGAGCAGGAGUGACAGGUGGUGCAUGGUUGUCGUCAGCUCGUGUCGUGAGAUGUUGGGUUAAGUCCCGCAACGAGCGCAACCCUUAUCCUUAGUAGCCAGCAGUAAGAUGGGCACUCUAGGGAGACUGCCAGGGAUAACCUGGAGGAAGGUGGGGAUGACGUCAAAUCAUCAUGCCCCUUAUGAUUUGGGCUACACACGUGCUACAAUGGCGUAAACAAAGGGAAGCGAAGCCGCGAGGUGAAGCAAAUCCCAAAAAUAACGUCCCAGUUCGGAUUGUAGGCUGCAACUCGCCUGCAUGAAGCUGGAAUCGCUAGUAAUCGCGAAUCAGAAUGUCGCGGC